RNAcentral lists this ribosomal RNA (678 nucleotides) under uncultured bacterium. RNAcentral's name for it is "bacterial SSU rRNA". It matches the Rfam family "Bacterial small subunit ribosomal RNA", at positions 8 to 677 of the family's 1533-position model. The record is from RNAcentral.
AGAGUUUGAUCCUGGCUCAGAAUGAACGCUGGCGGCGUGCCUAACACAUGCAAGUCGUAUGUGCCCGCAAGGGUGCAUGGCAGACGGGUGAGUAACGCGUGGAAAACCUACCUCUUUGUGGGGAAUAACGCUCCGAAAGGAGUGGUAAUACCGCAUGAGACCAUAGUACUGGGAUGUCUAUGGUGAAACCUGGGGACCGUAAGGCCUGGGGCAAGGAGAGGGUUCUGCGUCUGAUCAGCUAGUUGGUGAGGUAACGGCUCACCAAGGCGACGAUCAGUAGCCGGCCUGAGAGGGCAAUCGGCCACACUGGAACUGAGACACGGUCCAGACUCCUACGGGAGGCAGCAGUGGGGAAUAUUGCGCGAUGGGCGAAAGCCUGACGCAGCAACGCCGCGUGGGUGAUGAAGGUCUUCGGAUUGUAAAACCCUGUCGUCAGGGACGAAGGUUACUAGUUAAAUACAUUAGUAACUUGACGGUACCUGGAAAGGAAGCCCCGGCUAACUCUGUGCCAGCAGCCGCGGUAAUACAGAGGGGGCAAGCGUUAUUCGGAAUUAUUGGGCGUAAAGAGCGCGUAGGCGGUAUUUUAAGUGAGAUGUGCAAUCCCCGAGCUUAACUUGGGAACUGCAUCUCAGACUGGAAUGCUAGAGUACCGGAGAGGGUGGUAGAAUUCCACGUGUA